Molecule: long non-coding RNA, 1679 nt
Organism: Drosophila yakuba
Lineage: Eukaryota; Metazoa; Arthropoda; Insecta; Diptera; Drosophilidae
Exons: 3
Source: RefSeq, a predicted model, not a curated record
AGAGGAAACUGCUUAAAUUGCAUUAAAUACAUUUAAAACAUAAAUAAACCAGUUAACAAGCCGCUGCAGAUACUAUAAAUACUUAAGUCAUCUGAAUGUCAAUUGAUAGUACACAGGCAUUUAUUUGUACUUCCAAUUCGAAAUGGACUUACUACGGCUGCAGCCCAAUUCACCACGCUCAUUUGACCUGGCCAGCUCACGACUCCACUACUUACAACUGGGCUCGUAAGAGUUGGCCAACAAAACAGGCUCACUCUCGUAAUUAAGCGCUGCCCUGUGUCCCCGGGGUGCAGUUAAUGUUGUGGUGCCAUAAAUUUGACUUUUGCCUGUGUUGUUCCGAUGUCUGUGAAUUGGGUUAUUUACGGCCAAAUGCUGCAUUUGCCAGCUGACCAGGAGUUUUGUAGGGCUAAGAGCAGCGAGCCCAUAUUCAAUUUGGCACACACACUUGGCUAAAAAACGUCCACUGUACAUUUGAGUUCAAUACUAAUUUGUACUAACUUUUAAGUUUCGGUAUAGUUAGGAUUUUUUGCAUAGGCAGCCAUGCUGUUUAUAUUUACUUUUAAUAAUAUUAUAAAUGUGAAAGAAUAUAAAAUAUAAUUUUAUUUUAAUUUUUAAGGAUUUUUCGAAUAUUUCUAAAAGCAGCAGUUUAACUCAUUUUCCGACGAUAAAUACUUGAUUUUAAACACAGCCAAUGCCCAUCAGUCCACAUCACAACCAUGCCCCCCCUUUGGCUGCUUUCAAAUCGCCGGUGGACACGUUGGAGCCAUCAAACUGGGGGACACAUGCCAGCAUCAGCUCUGGUAAUUUCGCCAUUUUGGCCUGGUUGUUGUGGUGGUAAUUUUCCCGCGACUGACGACUUUACAGCUACGCACUUAAAAGUGAAAAAAAUGAGUUGGACCGGUUUUUGCGCGGGGAAAGCUGCGCCAUCAACAAGUUUUCCCGUUUCCCGCCUGCAAAGUGCAGUUUCGCCAAGGAAACUCCGGCUCCGCGUGGAAGGAAACGUUACAAGGAUGUGACAGGAGCCUCCCACUAUCAACUACAUGCAAGCAAUAGUGUAUGUACAGAGAGAGAAAAUGCAAGCGAAUUUAUGGCAUUCUAAGCUAAUUUCUAUUGCCUGCGGAGUAACAACAUUAUUAUUAGAAUUAUACAAAUAUGUACACAUACACAACUUUGUAUCCGUCUCACUGUCGACUUGUCCAUCUGCCUGCUUGUUACAUCGUGAAAUGUGACAAUCUGCAGAGAAGUUGCAACGCAGGUGGAAGGAAGACAUCGAGCUGGAGGACUCCGGACUCAGGCACUCAGCUGUGCACGUUUAUGGACAACAUAAUGGCGGAAUCGAGUUGGGCGCAAUGUAACACCCACACGAGGAGGCGAAAGGAUAAAGACGUACAUAUGUACAUACAGGCAGCUAAGGCAGAGGCAAACAAACGCAAACUCCCGGAGAUAAAUCGCAAAACUGGGAGCUACCCAAGCCCGGCCAUCCAAUCUCACCCAGAAUUGCACCAUGGGAGGUAAAGUUCCUAUGUGUGUUAGUAUCUACUUUACACAACCAUUUGUACAUAUAUGUACAUAGUUAUUCGAAACCAACCAACAGAUUUAGUUAACCUUAAAGGUUUAAAUACCAUUUACAAAUUGAAGAGGAAAUACACCUAAGAGCGAAACUAUAGUUGUCCCCAAAA